AACAGGGGUGCUGUAAAAGGCUGAGACGGAGUUUAUCCGAACCCUUUAACCUGAUAUGGGUAAUACCGGCGUAGGGAGUUUA
RNAcentral lists this non-coding RNA (82 nucleotides) under human gut metagenome. RNAcentral's name for it is "TPP riboswitch (THI element)". It matches the Rfam family "TPP riboswitch aptamer (THI element)", at positions 8 to 91 of the family's 105-position model. From Rfam's summary of the family: Vitamin B(1) in its active form thiamin pyrophosphate (TPP) is an essential coenzyme that is synthesised by coupling of pyrimidine and thiazole moieties in bacteria. The previously detected thiamin-regulatory element, thi box was extended, resulting in a new, highly conserved RNA secondary structure, the THI element, which is widely distributed in eubacteria and also occurs in some archaea. RNAcentral also lists the same sequence under 1 other name. The record is from RNAcentral.